Callipepla squamata (scaled quail) is the source of this 87-nucleotide regulatory RNA element. It matches the Rfam family "Retrovirus direct repeat 1 (dr1)". The record is from Rfam. NCBI's taxonomy places the organism in Eukaryota, Metazoa, Chordata, Aves, Galliformes, Odontophoridae.
GGUCACGCAGGCUUAACCGAGAGGACAAUGGCAUGUAUAGGCGUAAUGCAGGGAUUUUGGGGUGUCCGCGGUUAGAGUCCUCUCAGG